GCAGUCGAACGCGUCCCGGUUGAUGAAGUUGAGUGCUUGCACUUGAUUGAUUCAACUUGGUGACGAGUGGCGAACUGGUGAGUAACACGUGGGUAACCUGCCCCGAAGCGGGGGAUAACAUUUGGAAACAGGUGCUAAUACCGCAUAACAACCAAAACCACCUGGUUUUGGUUUGAAAGACGGCUUCGGCUGUCACUUUGGGAUGGACCCGCGGCGUAUUAGCUAGUUGGUGAGGUAACGGCUCACCAAGGCGAUGAUACGUAGCCGACCUGAGAGGGUAAUCGGCCACAUUGGGACUGAGACACGGCCCAAACUCCUACGGGAGGCAGCAGUAGGGAAUCUUCCACAAUGGACGCAAGUCUGAUGGAGCAACGCCGCGUGAGUGAUGAAGGGUUUCGGCUCGUAAAACUCUGUUGUUGGAGAAGAACGGGUGUCAGAGUAACUGUUGACAUCGUGACGGUAUCCAACCAGAAAGCCACGGCUAACUACGUGCCAGCAGCCGCGGUAAUACGUAGGUGGCAAGCGUUGUCCGGAUUUAUUGGGCGUAAAGCGAGCGCAGGCGGUUUUUUAGGUCUGAUGUGAAAGCCUUCGGCUUAACCGGAGAAGUGCAUCGGAAACCGGGAGACUUGAGUGCAGAAGAGGACAGUGGAACUCCAUGUGUAGCGGUGAAAUGCGUAGAUAUAUGGAAGAACACCAGUGGCGAAGGCGGCUGUCUGGUCUGCAACUGACGCUGAGGCUCGAAAGCAUGGGUAGCGAACAGGAUU
Molecule: ribosomal RNA, 764 nt
Filed under: Lactobacillus sp. JCM 2763
Lineage: Bacteria; Bacillati; Bacillota; Bacilli; Lactobacillales; Lactobacillaceae
Description: bacterial SSU rRNA
Rfam family: Bacterial small subunit ribosomal RNA
Source: RNAcentral